GACGAACGCUGGCGGCGUGCUUAACACAUGCAAGUCGAACGGAAAGGCCCUGCUUUUGUGGGGUGCUCGAGUGACGAACGGGUGAGUAACACGUGAGUAACCUGCCCCUGACUUUGGGAUAACUCCAGGAAACUGGGGCUAAUACCGGAUAGGAGCUCCUGCUGCACGGUGGGGGUUGGAAAGUUUCGGCGGUUGGGGAUGGACUCGCGGCUUAUCAGCUUGUUGGUGGGGUAGUGGCUUACCAAGGCUUUGACGGGUAGCCGGCCUGAGAGGGUGACCGGCCACAUUGGGACUGAGAUACGGCCCAGACUCCUACGGGAGGCAGCAGUGGGGAAUAUUGCGCAGUGGGCGGAAGCCUGAUGCAGCAGCGCCGCGUGCGGAAUGACGGCCUUCGGGUUGUAAACCGCUUUCGCCUGUGACGAAGCGUGAGUGACGGUAAUGGGUAAGGAAGCCCCGGCUAACUACGUG
Molecule: ribosomal RNA, 468 nt
Filed under: uncultured bacterium
Lineage: Bacteria
Description: partial 16S ribosomal RNA
Rfam family: Bacterial small subunit ribosomal RNA
Source: RNAcentral